GGUCCAAUAGUGUAGAGGUUAUCACACGGGAUUCUGAUAAGACUGAAAAGGAUUGCCUUUUCCCGUGACCCAGGUUCGAGUCCUGGUUGGACCU
Molecule: non-coding RNA, 94 nt
Organism: Rhodocollybia butyracea
Lineage: Eukaryota; Fungi; Basidiomycota; Agaricomycetes; Agaricales; Omphalotaceae
Source: the annotation of a GenBank genome assembly